GUGUCAGCCGCCGCGGUAAUACAGAGGGGGCAAGCGUUGUUCGGAAUUACUGGGCGUAAAGGGCGCGUAGGCGGCCUUCUAAGUCGAACGUGAAAUCCCUGGGCUCAACCCAGGAACUGCGUCCGAGACUGGGAGGCUAGAAUCCGGGAGAGGGAUGUGGAAUUCCAGGUGUAGCGGUGAAAUGCGUAGAUAUCUGGAGGAACAUCGGUGGCGAAGGCGGCAUCCUGGACCGGUAUUGACGCUGAGGCGCGAAAGCCAGGGGAGCAAACGGGAUUAGAAACCCCAGUAGUCC
Molecule: ribosomal RNA, 292 nt
Filed under: uncultured bacterium
Lineage: Bacteria
Description: partial 16S ribosomal RNA
Rfam family: Bacterial small subunit ribosomal RNA
Source: RNAcentral